GCGGGGGGAGCCCAGGUGGAUCAAGGCAGU
This 30-nucleotide transfer RNA is filed under the name Elatostema trilobulatum. RNAcentral describes it as "partial tRNA-His". Lineage: Eukaryota; Viridiplantae; Streptophyta; Magnoliopsida; Rosales; Urticaceae. The record is from RNAcentral.